CACGCCCUAAACGAUGUCAACUAGUUGUCGGGUCUUUAUAGAUUUGGUAACGUAGCUAACGCGUGAAGUUGACCGCCUGGGGAGUACGGUCGCAAGAUUAAAACUCAAAGGAAUUGACGGGGACCCGCACAAGCGGUGGAUUAUGUGGAUUAAUUCGAUGCAACGCGAAAAACCUUACCUACCCUUGACAUGUAGUGAAUAUUCUAGAGAUAGAAUAGUGCCUUCGGGAACACUAACACAG
RNAcentral lists this ribosomal RNA (241 nucleotides) under uncultured bacterium. RNAcentral's name for it is "partial 16S ribosomal RNA". It matches the Rfam family "Bacterial small subunit ribosomal RNA", at positions 796 to 1037 of the family's 1533-position model. The record is from RNAcentral.